UAUCGUCUUCCUCCUCUCAUCUGUUCGAGCCUUCCACAACGCACCCCGGGCGAAGCCAUGAACCACCGCGGUCGCGUCAAAUCCGAUUAGGUCAACCGUUUCUCGCAAAACCAACACCGAAUAAUUAAUCCAUGUCGCUUCGCGAACCGAUUCAGGCCAUCAAUCAACUGUCUCUCUUCUUAAUUCCCCAUUUGCAACGGACGUGCCUCGAAAGCCGACGGUCGGCAUUCAACUCUCGAUCUCCCUCAGCGGUCUAUAAAACCAACUUCUGAUCGCGUCAUCUUAGGCCCAUUUCCAUCCUCUCUCAAACCCCUCUCCUAAUUUCACCUUAUAGCAAUAGUAGAGCCCGUUCCUAGCCAGUCCCUCUCCCUAUCCAACCCGUCCAUAAUUCACGUUAUGCAUCAAAAUAUAAUGGACGGAGCAAAACGUCGUCUUCUCCUCUAUAAAGGCACUGCUCUGCUGAAUUUGGCUCCGUCACCAUCUUGCUUUGCCAUAGUUGGUGCCACGACUCAGGUCGCCAUCCGUGUCGCCGGCAUCAUCAACUCAGGCUCCUGGCCUGUUCCUGAGCCUGGCGCUCUCCUCCGCCGAUGCAGUUGUUAAGGCUGCCAAAAUCUUACAAUCUCACCGAGAAAAGAAGCUUGGUAGCGACCAAUCUGCUUGCUGUGUGAUGAUUCCACAUGGUGCGGAACCCAAGAGCAUGAAGGCUACAACGAGCUGGUAAGUUUAGAGCUUCAGGGGGUCAGUAUCGCAAUCAUGCUGAUGUGCGUUCAGAGAGGCCAAGAAAUGUGACCAGCCCUAUUCCGAGACCAACAGAAAGGUGUUUCGCUUCAUUAUUGAGAGAAGCAAUACUUUUUCAUGCAUGCUGUGAACUCUGGUUCGAGAUUUAUGGAGCCCAGGAUCACCAAAUUUUGUCUACGCUUGCAUGGCUCUUUUCCCAUCUUUAAAUAUUUAUAGCAUAUACAAAAUUUGGCUUGUUUUUGUUGA
Long non-coding RNA from Brachypodium distachyon (stiff brome), 984 nucleotides. RefSeq lists it as uncharacterized. NCBI's taxonomy places the organism in Eukaryota, Viridiplantae, Streptophyta, Magnoliopsida, Poales, Poaceae. The record is from RefSeq and is a predicted model, not a curated record. The transcript has 2 exons.